GAGAUAACUCCUACGGGAGGCAGCAGUGGGGAAUUUUGGACAAUGGGCGCAAGCCUGAUCCAGCCAUGCCGCGUGAGUGAAGAAGGCCUUCGGGUUGUAAAGCUCUUUCGGCUGGGAAGAAAUCGCACUCUCUAAUACGGGGUGUGGAUGACGGUACCAGCAUAAGAAGCACCGGCUAACUACGUGCCAGCAGCCGCGGUAAUACGUAGGGUGCGAGCGUUAUUCGGAAUUACUGGGCGUAAAGCGUGCGCAGGCGGUUGUGUAAGACAGACGUGAAAUCCCCGGGCUCAACCUGGGAACUGCGUUUGUGACUGCACGGCUAGAGUACGGCAGAGGGGGGUGGAAUUCCACGUGUAGCAGUGAAAUGCGUAGAGAUGUGGAGGAACACCGAUGGCGAAGGCAGCCCCCUGGGCCAGUACUGACGCUCAUGCACGAAAGCGUGGGGAGCAAACAGGAUUAGAAACCCUAGUAGUCCUCCACU
RNAcentral lists this ribosomal RNA (481 nucleotides) under uncultured bacterium. Its description in RNAcentral is "bacterial SSU rRNA". It matches the Rfam family "Bacterial small subunit ribosomal RNA", at positions 329 to 803 of the family's 1533-position model. The record is from RNAcentral.